ACUCGGAGGGAAAAGAGAAGCGACACGAUAGCGUCUUCUUGCGCCGCGGCGGUGCGCAGGCGCCGUGGCCCAACUGGGGACUUUGUUCUCCGCGGAGAAACCCAAGGGCGGUGCCGGUGAGCGGCUGCGCACGCGCAUCGCUUCAUUUCCGGUGCUCGCUCGCUGGGUCGCUCGGGUCGGCUUCGGUAGCUGUCGCUCCCGCUCUCCUACCCCUGCCAACCGCCGCUAGGGCCUCCGCCGCUGCCGCGUCGCUUCCUCUCUCGCUUGCUCGCCCAUCGUCACUGAUGCAGCGCCGGGACGACCCUGCCGCGCGCAUGACCCGGUCCUCAGGCCGCAGCGGCUCCAUGGACCCCUCAGGUGCCCACCCCUCGGUGCGUCAGACGCCCUCUCGGCCGCCGCCGCUGCCGCAUCGGUCCCGAGGAGGCGGAGGGGGGCCCCGAGGGGGCGCCCGGGCCUCGCCGGCCACGCAGCCGCCACCGUUGCUGCCCCCGUCGGCCACAGGUCCCGACGCGACAGUGGGCGGUCCAGCGCCGACCCCGCUGCUGCCCCCUUCAGCCACAGCCUCCGUCAAGAUGGAACCGGAGAACAAGUACCUGCCAGAACUCAUGGCCGAGAAGGACUCCCUCGACCCGUCCUUCACUCACGCCAUGCAGCUGCUGACGGCAGAAAUUGAGAAGAUUCAGAAAGGUGAUUCAAAAAAGGAUGAUGAAGAGAACUACUUGGAUUUAUUUUCUCAUAAGAACAUGAAGCUGAAAGAGCGGGUACUGAUACCUGUCAAGCAGUAUCCAAAGUUCAAUUUUGUGGGGAAGAUUCUUGGACCACAAGGGAAUACAAUCAAAAGACUGCAGGAAGAGACUGGCGCGAAGAUCUCUGUGUUGGGAAAGGGUUCAAUGAGAGACAAAGCCAAGGAAGAAGAGCUUCGCAAAGGUGGAGACCCCAAAUAUGCCCACUUAAAUAUGGAUCUGCAUGUCUUCAUUGAGGUCUUUGGACCCCCGUGUGAGGCUUAUGCUCUUAUGGCUCAUGCCAUGGAAGAAGUCAAAAAGUUUCUUGUACCAGAUAUGAUGGAUGAUAUCUGCCAGGAACAAUUUCUAGAGCUGUCAUACUUGAAUGGAGUACCUGAGCCCUCUCGUGGACGUGGGGUGCCAGUAAGAGGCCGGGGAGCUGCACCUCCCCCUCCACCUGUUCCCAGGGGCCGUGGCGUUGGACCACCUCGGGGGGCUUUGGUGCGUGGAACCCCAGUGAGAGGCGCCAUCACUAGAGGUGCCACUGUGACUAGAGGAGUGCCACCCCCACCUACAGUGAGGGGUGCUCCAGCACCAAGAGCACGGACAGCAGGCAUCCAGAGAAUACCUUUGCCUCCACCCCCUGCACCAGAAACAUACGAAGAAUAUGGAUAUGAUGAUACAUAUGCAGAACAGAGUUAUGAAGGCUACGAAGGCUAUUACAGCCAGAGCCAAGGGGACUCAGAAUAUUAUGACUAUGGACAUGGGGAGGUUCAAGAUUCUUAUGAAGCUUAUGGCCAAGAUGACUGGAAUGGGACCAGGCCAUCUCUGAAGGCCCCUCCAGCUAGGCCAGUAAAGGGAGCAUACAGAGAACACCCUUAUGGACGUUAUUAAAAACAAACAGGAGGGGAAAAUAUCAAUUAUGAGCAAAGUUGUUACUGAUUUCUUGUAUCUCCCAGGAUUCCUGUUGCUUUACCCACAGCAGACAAGUGAUUGAAAACUCCUGAGACAUUUCCUGGACUAGAAUGGGUAGUGAAGACCCAUGUCAGCUGUCGGACGAGUCUGGAAACCAGGAGAGCUACCUGCUGUAUAAAGGCCGGCCUGGAGGCAUUUGCUGAGCACAGAGAAACCCAGGAGAGAUCAGCAGUUCUCUUUCACCCCACCCCUUGAUCUAUCUGAUUUACCCACAGAGAAAACAGACAGAAUCAUCCUAUAAGAAUCUUUGGGCCCAGAACAGAACAAGGGUGCAGAGGACUGUGAUGCUUAACAGUUAAACUUGCUCAAGACUUCAGGGUUGAAAGGGAUUAACAGUAUCCCUAGCACGGCCUUCUAGAUCAGAAUAGAUUGGCAACUUCCAAUGUGACCUUCCCCGGCUGUCUUCCCUUUAGCCUGCAGAACUGGCUGAACACCCUACUACCACCUCUUUUUCCUCCCUGCUACAUCUGUGUUUUAAGUGUCAAUCUGGCAACUCUUGGCCACUUCCAGAGAGAGAGUAGUCACCCCUUCUUGUAACAAGCCAAGGAAAGCCAAGUGGGAAGGUUCAUUUAUUUUGGGCAAAUUAUUUAACCCCUGAGCCUGUUCAUCUGUUCUUUACUUGAGCCUGUUCAUCUGUUCUUUACUUGUCCAAAAAGCUCUUAAAAGGAGGGGGUUUUUUUCUACUUCUCUACUAUGUUCCUUCCCCAGAAAGUACCUGCCCCUAAGGAGCUCAAUAAAGGUUUGGUCAAGUGAUGAAUGGUCUUACUCUGGUAGCUUCUAUAACUUUGGGAAAGAGCCAAAUCCCCAUAUCUAGCUUUUUCCUCCCCUCUAGCUAUACUAGGCCAGUUGUUUGUCCUAACAUUUUCUCUGGAAGGAUUGAUUGGAAGUCAGUGUUUGAUAGACUCCUGGGUUUCUAAAGCCUGUGCCUAGCUGAUUUACACUGAGUUUCCUCAGAGCUUAGGGACUUUCAAUACACAACACAUGAUUUAAGGGGAAGGACUCAGUUUAGGGAAGGAGGCUUUCUGCAGUUUAACUGUACCUGGGGCAGUCUCAUGAGCUUGGAUUCAUUCUUAGCAGGAACAGAGGUAUAAUGGAAAGAGACCUUGAAAUCAGUUGAUUCAUGUUGGGCAAGCUGUGUAACCUCCAAGCCUGCUGGUCUUCAUUGUUGAUGACUAUAAAUAUUAGCUAAUAACUUGAUUGUCUCAUAUCCGGCAUUGUGUCAAGCACUUACAUGCACUGUUUCAUUUAAUAUUCCAGACCAAUAUAUUUUUUUUACAGAUGAUGAAACUGAGACUUAAGGAGAAUAAAUAAUUUGGCUGUUUAGAAAAAGGUGCACAGAGAAUGUUGCCGGGAUGUGGGACUUUCAGGGAUAAAACUGGGUGAGUCCCGGGCAAACCUAGAUGAGUUUGUCACUCUCUUUGCAUUGGUCGCUCUAAAUGCAUGGCUAGCCACUAAGGCUGUACUUUUCCUUGGCUGUUUCUUGGGUUUCUCCUGGGCCUCAGUUUGUAGCCAGAUUCCCUUCAGUUCACCAGACAAGGGAGGAGAGACAGGAGUGAGGGAAGUGGAUGGUGUUCUGGUCAUAGAUAAAUGGAGACACAGACCCUGCAUCACCGUGGAGCCUGUAUUCACUUAGGAUCUUAGGCAGACAUCCCCUCAAUCCCCAGGUAUACAUUAUCUACUUGGGAGCUACAGAAUUCUACAGGAAAGCUCAUAGGGCUGAAGCCAAAUAAAUCUAGAUUCAAAGCACA
This is an RNA transcript of Chinchilla lanigera (long-tailed chinchilla), 3445 nucleotides long. It is a transcript of the gene named KH domain containing, RNA binding, signal transduction associated 1, with no coding region annotated. The transcript is spliced from 11 exons. NCBI's taxonomy places the organism in Eukaryota, Metazoa, Chordata, Mammalia, Rodentia, Chinchillidae. The record is from RefSeq and is a predicted model, not a curated record.